UCAAGUUAUUAAGGGUGCAGGGCGGAUGCCUUGGCACUAGGAGCCGAUGAAGGACGUGAUAAGCUGCGAUAAGCUUCGGGGAGUUGCACGUAAACUUUGAUCCGAAGAUUUCCGAAUGAGGAAACUCACUUAGAGUAAUGUCUAAGUAUCAUUAAGUGAAUACAUAGCUUAAUGAGGGGAACUCAGGGAACUGAAACAUCUAAGUACCUGAAGGAAGAGAAAGAAAUUCGAUUCCGUAAGUAGCGGCGAGCGAACGCGGAUUAGCCCAAACCAAUAAAGUUUUCUUUAUUGGGGUUGCGGACAUAUCAUAACGAAGAGGUAUCGUAAUUGAAGAGGUUUGGAAAGACCCACCACAGAAGGUAAUAGUCCUGUAUGUUAAACGAGAAGACUUUAGAUAUGAUCCAGAGUACCACGGGACACGUGAAACCCUGUGGGAAGCAGGAGGGACCACCCUCCAAGGCUAAAUACUACCUAGUGACCGAUAGCGUAUAGUACCGUGAGGGAAAGGUGAAAAGAACCCCGGGAGGGGAGUGAAAUAGAACCUGAAACCCUGCACUUACAAGCUGUGGAAGCACAUUUCUUGUGUGACCGCGUACUUUUUGUAGAACGGGCCAACGAGUUACGUUAAGUAGCAAGGUUAAGCACUUAAGGUGCGGAGCCGUAGCGAAAGCGAGUUUUAACUGAGCGUUCAGUUACUUGACGUAGACCCGAAACCGGGCGACCUACCCAUGAGCAGGAUGAAGCGAAAGUAAAAUUUCGUGGAGGUCCGAACCCACGAGCGUUGAAAAGCUCGGGGAUGACUUGUGGGUAGCGGUGAAAUUCCAAUCGAGCCCGGAGAUAGCUGGUUCUCCCCGAAAUAGCUUUAGGGCUAGCCUCAAGGUGAGAGAUACGGAGGUAGAGCACUGAAUGUCCUAGGGGGUAUUGCACCUACCGAAGACUAUCAAACUCCGAAUGCCGUCAUCUUAUACUUGGGAGUCAGACUGUGGGUGAUAAGAUUCAUAGUCGAAAGGGCAACAGCCCAGAUCGUCAGCUAAGGUCCCUAAAUGUAAGUUAAGUGGUAAAGGAUGUGGGAUUGCACAGACAACCAGGAUGUUGGCUUAGAAGCAGCCACUCAUUCAAAGAGUGCGUAAUAGCUCACUGGUCGAGUGAUCCUGCGCCGAAGAUUUCCGGGGCUAAAACUUACUACCGAAGCUACGGCAUCAGUAAUGAUGGGUAGGGGAGCUUCCCAUACGGGUUGAAGCAUGACCGUAAGGACAUGUGGACAGUAUGGGAGUGAGAAUGUUGGCAUGAGUAGCGAGAUGUGGGUGAGAAUCCCACAGGCCGUAAACCCAAGGUUUCCAGGGGAAGGUUCGUCCGCCCUGGGUUAGUCGGGACCUAAGCUGAGGCCGAAAGGCGUAGGUGAUGGACAACAGGUUGAUAUUCCUGUACUACCGAUAACCGUUUGAGAGAAGGGAUGACACAGUAGGAUAAGCUAAGCACACUGUUGGUUAUGUGUGCCCAAGCAUUGAGGCAGUCAAAGUAGGCAAAUCCGCUUUGAUAAUGCUGGGAUGUGAUGGGGAGCGAAAUUUAGUAGCGAAGUAGCUGAUUUCACACUGUCAAGAAAAGUCUCUAUCGAGGUUAAAGGUACCCGUACCGCAAACCGACACAGGUGGGUGAGGAGAGUAUCCUAAGGCCAGCGAGAGAACUGUUGUUAAGGAACUCGGCAAAAUGACCCCGUAACUUAGGGAUAAGGGGUGCCACCAUCAGGUGGCCGCAGAGAAUAGGCCCAAGCGACUGUUUACCAAAAACAUAGGUUUCUGCUAAGUCGCAAGACGAUGUAUAGGAGCUGACGCCUGCCCGGUGCUGGAAGGUUAAGGGGAUCUGUUAGAGCAAUCGAAGCAGUGAACUUAAGCCCCAGUAAACGGCGGCCGUAACUAUAACGGUCCUAAGGUAGCGAAAUUCCUUGUCGGGUAAGUUCCGACCCGCACGAAAGGCGUAACGAUUUGGGCACUGUCUCAACAACAGACUCGGUGAAAUUGUAAUUCCGGUGAAGAUGCCGGAUACCUGCGACAGGACGGAAAGACCCCAUGGAGCUUUACUGUAGCUUGACAUUGGGUCUUGGUACUACAUGUACAGGAUAGGUGGGAGGCUUUGAAACCAGGACGCCAGUUUUGGCGGAGCCAUCCUUGGGAUACCACCCUUGUAGUACUGGGACUCUAACCAUAGGCCAUGAAUCUGGUCUUGGGACACUGUCAGGUGGGCAGUUUGACUGGGGCGGUCGCCUCCCAAAAGGUAACGGAGGCGCUCAAAGGUUCUCUCAGUACGGUCGGAAAUCGUACGUAGAGUGUAAAGGCAAAAGAGAGCUUGAUUGCAAGACAUACAGGUCGAGCAAGGAUGAAAAUCGGACUUAGUGAUCCGGUGGUUCUGCGUGGAAGGGCCAUCGCUCAACGGAUAAAAGCUACCCUGGGGAUAACAGGCUUAUCUCCCCCAAGAGUCCACAUCGACGGGGAGGUUUGGCACCUCGAUGUCGGCUCAUCACAUCCUGGGGCUGUAGUAGGUCCCAAGGGUUGGGCUGUUCGCCCAUUAAAGUGGUACGCGAGCUGGGUUCAGAACGUCGUGAGACAGUUCGGUCCCUAUCCGUCGCAGGCGUAGGAAAUUUGAGAAGACCUGUCCUUAGUACGAG
Molecule: ribosomal RNA, 2662 nt
Filed under: Clostridioides difficile
Lineage: Bacteria; Bacillati; Bacillota; Clostridia; Peptostreptococcales; Peptostreptococcaceae
Description: bacterial LSU rRNA
Rfam family: Bacterial large subunit ribosomal RNA
Source: RNAcentral